CCCCCUAGAGACCAGCUCCUCCUCGGUGCUCACUCCACCAGGCGGGCAAGCCCUCAGCCCCGCCCUGUCGCGGCGGCGCCGGUGUCCCCACCCCACCCCCUGAGAACUACGGUCCCCAGAAGGCCGCGGGGCGGCGCGGAGAGGAGCGCGUCUCGGGAGCUGUGGUCCCGCGCGCCCGGGCGCCGGCUGGACGUGCAGGGCGCGGGGCAGCGGGGCUCGCCGUCUGCUCUCCCUGCAGGACCCCGCUGGCCGCCGGCCUUUGGAAGAAACCCUCGUGCGCUCCCGUGGGGUCUCCUUAAGGGGCGGGCUGGGCGCCCCACCUGGACGCCACCCCGGGCGGAGUCGGACCUGGCGCUUUCCAGCCCCUGAUGUCACUGAGACCCCGCUGGCCCGGGCUGGCUCCCAGCUGUGCGGCCCCUGGGGGUGCAGGACUGAAGACGGGUGUCUGCUGAUCGGAAUCUUCUGGAAGUUGGUUAAAUGCAGAUUCUUGGCCCCUCCUCCCUGAGAUCCUGAUACAGGGUCCAAGGAGGGACCCAGGAAUGUGGAUUUCAGGCCAUCGCGCCCCAGAGCAGAGGGCAGCCUCGGAGCAUGGAGGACACAGAUGGGGCGCAGCAGCACCAGCCCAAUGCCAGACGUUGGUGAUGUCCCUUCCCUUGUCCGCGAAGCAGUGACCUAUCCAGGGUGCCCGGGGCUGGGUGUGUGCGUCAUGUUCUGCAGCGGGGAGUUUGGGGCUGGGGACUGAACCUAGGUACUCUACCACGGAGCCACAUCCCCAGCCGCUUUUAUUUAUUUUGAUGCAGGGUUUUGCCAAGUUGCCCAGGCUGCCCUUGAACCUGGGGUCCUCCUGCCCUAGGCUCCGAGUAGCUGGGAUGGCAGGUGCGUGCCACUGUGCCAGGCUUGCUUUAGAUUUCUUUUUUCUUUUC
Molecule: long non-coding RNA, 923 nt
Filed under: Ictidomys tridecemlineatus (thirteen-lined ground squirrel)
Lineage: Eukaryota; Metazoa; Chordata; Mammalia; Rodentia; Sciuridae
Description: lncRNA (ENSSTOG00000034834.1)
Source: RNAcentral